RNAcentral lists this ribosomal RNA (406 nucleotides) under uncultured bacterium. RNAcentral's name for it is "partial 16S ribosomal RNA". It matches the Rfam family "Bacterial small subunit ribosomal RNA", at positions 30 to 526 of the family's 1533-position model. The record is from RNAcentral.
AUUGAACGCUGGCGGCAGGCCUAACACAUGCAAGUCGGACGAGCGGCGGACGGGUGAGUAAUGUCGGGGAAACUGCCUGAUGGAGGGGGAUAACUACUGGAAACGGUAGCUAAUACCGCAUAACAUCAGAUGUGCCCAGAUGGGAUUAGCUGGUUGGUAAGGUAACGGCUCACCUAGGCGACGAUCCCUAGCUGGUCUGAGAGGAUGAUCAGCCACACUGGAACUGAGACACGGCCCAGACUCCUACGGGAGGCAGCAGUGGGGAAUAUUGCACAAUGGGCGCAAGCCUGAUACAGCCAUGCCGCGUGUAUGAAGAAGGCCUUCGGGUUGUAAAGUACUUUCAGUCGGGAGGCGUUACCGACAGAAGAAGCACCGGCUAACUCCGUGCCAGCAGCCGCGGUAAUUC